GACGAACGCUGGCGGCGUGCUUAACACAUGCAAGUCGAACGAUGAAGCCCUUUCGGGGGUGGAUCAGUGGCGAACGGGUGAGUAACACGUGGGUAACCUGCCCUGUACCCUGGGAUAAGCCUUGGAAACGAGGUCUAAUACCGGAUAUGACCUGCUCUCGCAGUGGGGGUGGGUGGAAAGUUUUGGCGGUGCAGGAUGGACCCGCGGCCUAUCAGCUUGUUGGUGGGGUGAUGGCCUACCAAGGCGACGACGGGUAGCCGGCCUGAGAGGGCGACCGGCCACACUGGGACUGAGACACGGCCCAGACUCCUACGGGAGGCAGCAGUGGGGAAUAUUGCACAAUGGGCGAAAGCCUGAUGCAGCGACGCCGCGUGA
This 375-nucleotide ribosomal RNA is filed under the name uncultured bacterium. RNAcentral describes it as "bacterial SSU rRNA". It matches the Rfam family "Bacterial small subunit ribosomal RNA", at positions 28 to 404 of the family's 1533-position model. The record is from RNAcentral.